This 450-nucleotide ribosomal RNA is filed under the name uncultured bacterium. Its description in RNAcentral is "partial 16S ribosomal RNA". It matches the Rfam family "Bacterial small subunit ribosomal RNA", at positions 354 to 796 of the family's 1533-position model. The record is from RNAcentral.
GUGGGGAAUUUUGGACAAUGGGCGCAAGCCUGAUCCAGCCAUGCCGCGUGCAGGAUGAAGGCCUUCGGGUUGUAAACUGCUUUUGUACGGAACGAAAAGACUCUGGUUAAUACCUGGGGUCCAUGACGGUACCGUAAGAAUAAGCACCGACUAACUACGUGCCAGCAGCCGCGGUAAUACGUAGGGUGCGAGCGUUAAUCGGAAUUACUGGGCGUAAAGCGUGCGCAGGCGGUUAUGUAAGACAGAUGUGAAAUCCCCGGGCUCAACCUGGGAACUGCAUUUGUGACUGCAUAGCUAGAGUACGGCAGAGGGAGAUGGAAUUCCGCGUGUAGCAGUGAAAUGCGUAGAUAUGCGGAGGAACACCGAUGGCGAAGGCAAUCCCCUGGGCCUGUACUGACGCUCAUGCACGAAAGCGUGGGGAGCAAACAGGAUUAGAAACCCUUGUAGUCC